This is a microRNA precursor of Tribolium castaneum (red flour beetle), 84 nucleotides long. It matches the Rfam family "mir-6012 microRNA precursor family". NCBI's taxonomy places the organism in Eukaryota, Metazoa, Arthropoda, Insecta, Coleoptera, Tenebrionidae. The record is from Rfam.
UGCAGGGUGAACAGACUGAUCUUGUUUCUGCGGAAAUGUUAGUUACAGUCAUUUCGGCGAUGAGAUCAGCCUGUCGAACCCAGC